This 426-nucleotide ribosomal RNA is filed under the name Acanthamoeba sp. AVL-2. RNAcentral's name for it is "SSU rRNA". It matches the Rfam family "Eukaryotic small subunit ribosomal RNA", at positions 767 to 1087 of the family's 1831-position model. Lineage: Eukaryota; Discosea; Longamoebia; Acanthamoebidae. The record is from RNAcentral.
UAAAAGGGUCAAGCAGGCAGAUCCCAUUUUCUUNCCACCGAAUACAUUAGCAUGGGAUAAUGGAAUAGGACCCUGUCCUCCUAUUUUCAGUUGGUUUUGGCACGCGAGGACCAGGUAAUGAUUAAUAGGGAUAGUUGGGGGCAUUAAUAUUUAAUUGUCAGAGGUGAAAUUCUUGGAUUUAUGAAAGAUUAACUUCUGCGAAAGCAUCUGCCAAGGAUGUUUUCAUUAAUCAAGAACGAAAGUUAGGGGAUCGAAGACGAUCAGAUACCGUCGUAGUCUUAACCAUAAACGAUGCCGACCAGCGAUUAGGAGACGUUGAAUACAAAACACCACCAUCGGUGCGGUCGUCCUUGGCGCGUCGCGGCUUGCCGNGGCGUGCGAGGGCGGUUUAGCCUGAUGGCAUCGGUGAAUGACUCCCCUAGCAGC